This 446-nucleotide ribosomal RNA is filed under the name uncultured bacterium. RNAcentral describes it as "partial 16S ribosomal RNA". It matches the Rfam family "Bacterial small subunit ribosomal RNA", at positions 338 to 795 of the family's 1533-position model. The record is from RNAcentral.
CCUACGGGAGGCUGCAGUCGAGAAUCAUUCACAAUGGGGGAAACCCUGAUGGUGCGACGCCGCGUGGGGGAAUGAAGGUCUUCGGAUUGUAAACCCCUGUCAUGUGGGAGCAAAUUAAAAAGAUAGUACCACAAGAGGAAGACUCGGCUAACUUUGUUCCACCAGCCGCGGUAAUACAGAGGUUUCAAGCGUUUGUCGGAAUCACUGGUCCUAAAGCGAGCGUUGGCGGGUUGGUAAGUCGGGUGUGAAAGGUGCGGGCUCAACCCGCGAAGGGCAAAUGAUACUGCGAGACUAGAGUACAGGAGGGGGAAGCGGAAUUCGCGGUGUAGCAGUGAAAUGCGUAGAUAUCGAGAGGAACACUCGUGGCGAAGGCGGGUUCCUGGACAGUAACUGACGCUGAGGCACGAAGGCGAGGGGAGCGAAAGGGAUUAGAUACCCGGGUAGUC